RNAcentral lists this ribosomal RNA (464 nucleotides) under uncultured bacterium. RNAcentral's name for it is "partial 16S ribosomal RNA". It matches the Rfam family "Bacterial small subunit ribosomal RNA", at positions 338 to 795 of the family's 1533-position model. The record is from RNAcentral.
CCUACGGGAGGCAGCAGUAGGGAAUUUUCGGCAAUGGGGGGAACCCUGACCGAGCAACGCCGCGUGAGGGAAGAAGUAUUUCGGUAUGUAAACCUCUGUUAUCAAGGAAGAACGGUGCAUGUAGGGAAUGACCUUCCAUUGACGGUACUUUAUGAGGAAGCCCCGGCUAACUACGUGCCAGCAGCCGCGGUAAUACGUAGGUGGCGAGCGUUAUCCGGAAUUAUUGGGCGUAAAGAGGGAGCAGGCGGCAGAUAAGGUCUGCGGUGAAAGCCCGAAGCUAAACUUCGGUAAGGCGUGGAAACCGAGAAGCUAGAGUGCAGUAGAGGAGAGUGGAAGUCCAGGUGUAGCGGUGAAAUGCGUAGAUAUAUGGAGGAACACCAGUGGCGAAGGCGACGAGCUGGGCGGCAACUGACGCUCAGUCCCGAAAGCGUGGGGAGCAAAUAGGAUUAGAUACCCUGGUAGUC